RNAcentral lists this ribosomal RNA (374 nucleotides) under uncultured bacterium. RNAcentral describes it as "bacterial SSU rRNA". It matches the Rfam family "Bacterial small subunit ribosomal RNA", at positions 524 to 898 of the family's 1533-position model. The record is from RNAcentral.
UACGAGAGGCCCAAACGUUAUUCGGAUUUACUGGGCUUAAAGAGUUUGUAGGCGGUUCGGUAAGUGAGAUGUGAAAGCCCUCGGCUCAACCGAGGAAUUGCGUUUCAAACUGCCGGGCUCGAGGGAGAUAGAGGUGAGCGGAACUGAUGGUGGAGCGGUGAAAUGCGUUGAUAUCAUCAGGAACACCAGAGGCGAAGGCGGCUCACUGGGUCUCUUCUGACGCUGAGAAACGAAAGCUAGGGGAGCAAACGGGAUUAGAUACCCCGGUAGUCCUAGCCGUAAACGAUGAGCACUGGACCGGAGCUCUGCACAGGGUUUCGGUCGUAGCGAAAGUGUUAAGUGCUCCGCCUGGGGAGUAUGGUCGCAAGGCUGAA